GUGAAUCAUCAAAUUUUUGAACGCAAAUUGCACUCUCCUCGGAGAGUAUGCCUGUUUGAGGGUCAGCCUAUAAAAAUCGACAAAGUUCCUUUUUCGGGGUGGCGUUCGUAGGAAUUGGGGGCUUCUUAAUUCCUUUUGAUUGAACCGCCUUAAAAUUUUCUUUUGGUUCAAUGAACGUUUCUAAGAUCUUUUUUUUUACCGGUUUAAGGUAUGGAUUUUUAUAA
RNAcentral lists this unclassified non-coding RNA (224 nucleotides) under Glomeraceae sp. Its description in RNAcentral is "partial contains 5.8S ribosomal RNA and internal transcribed spacer 2". The stretch from base 1 to 65 matches the Rfam family "5.8S ribosomal RNA", at positions 84 to 154 of the family's 154-position model. The record is from RNAcentral. Lineage: Eukaryota; Fungi; Glomeromycota; Glomeromycetes; Glomerales; Glomeraceae.